AGCUCCAAUAGCGUAUAUUAAAGUUGUUGCAGUUAAAAAGCUCGUAGUUGGAUUUCUGGCAGGUUUUCAAAGUCCGCUUGUUGCGUGACUGCGAAACCCUGCCAUCCUUCUGUUAACUCUUCACGGUCUUCUGAUCGGCUGAGGGCUCAGAUAUUUUACCUUGAGAAAAUUAGAGUGUUUCAGGCAGGCUAUAGCCGGAAUACAUUAGCAUGGAAUAAUGGAAAAGGACUUUUACCUCUUCUGUUGGUCUGAGGGGUUAAAGUAAUGAUUAAUAGGGAUAGUUGGGGGCAUUAGUACUUAACUGCUAGAGGUGAAAUUCUCGGAUUUGUUAAAGACUAACUUAUGCGAAAGCAUUUGCCAAGGAUGUUUUCAUUA
Molecule: ribosomal RNA, 375 nt
Filed under: Strombidinopsis sp.
Lineage: Eukaryota; Ciliophora; Spirotrichea; Choreotrichida; Strombidinopsidae
Description: partial small subunit ribosomal RNA
Rfam family: Eukaryotic small subunit ribosomal RNA
Source: RNAcentral